AGCUCUGGGGAGCCGCUGGGAGUGGGAAAGAGAGAGAGCGUGUGUAUGAGAGAUUUACAUCCAAAGUCAGAUCAGAGAUUCCCGUUCUGCUGUGGUGACGCGGGAGCUUGUCCCUGUCGGGCAGCAGGGACCCGGCAGAUGAAGCAGGAGUGGCAAGGCGUGAGCCUGUCAUUAGGAGAGAUGAAGAAGCCAGGCUGGAGCCAUAACCUAUCCAAACCAGCAACCGGCAAUUCGCAUAGCAAAACUGAAAACAGAGGCCUAGAGAGAAGAAGCUUUUGCCCAGAUUCCACGACUAGAAGGUUCCUGAACAGGAUCAAGAUCAGAUUGACUGAUUUCAUUUGUAGAAGUGCCGAGCUCUCUGCACCAUCGACCUUUCAGUGAUGUGGGAGGUGCUGAAGACACACAUGGGGUUCCAUCCCGGAGAAGGUUCUGGGAAUAAUGCAAAC
Long non-coding RNA from Canis lupus familiaris (dog), 446 nucleotides. RefSeq lists it as uncharacterized. Lineage: Eukaryota; Metazoa; Chordata; Mammalia; Carnivora; Canidae. The record is from RefSeq and is a predicted model, not a curated record. The transcript is spliced from 3 exons.